UUCUUCGAGCUAUAACAACCUAAGGAAAAGUUCUAUGGUUGUAUAGCCGUUAGGGUUUAAAAGGAAAUCUUUUAAUCCUCCCAGUUUGGAAAGGAGACCAUUUAU
RNAcentral lists this non-coding RNA (105 nucleotides) under marine eukaryotic metagenome. RNAcentral's name for it is "Moco (molybdenum cofactor) riboswitch". It matches the Rfam family "Molybdenum/Tungsten riboswitch aptamer (Moco RNA motif)", at positions 11 to 125 of the family's 135-position model. The record is from RNAcentral.